UCACCCCUCAAGCCUCGUGCUUGGUGUUGGACGGCCGGUCGAGCGAUCGACCCCUCCGAAAGACAAUGACGGCGGCCUGUGGUCCCCCCGGUACACUGAGCUUCUCACCGAGCACGUAUCGGACAAGGGUGCCCGGGACCCGGUCUUCUCCUUUCACCAGGAAACUUUUCAA
This 172-nucleotide unclassified non-coding RNA is filed under the name uncultured Cladophialophora. Its description in RNAcentral is "sequence contains ITS2". Lineage: Eukaryota; Fungi; Ascomycota; Eurotiomycetes; Chaetothyriales; Herpotrichiellaceae. The record is from RNAcentral.